UAGGUCCUGGGUAGAAAAGUCAAUGGAACAGAUCAAGAUGAUAACUGCACACAAGAUUUCUUACAUGCCAAGAUGCUAGGCUCNAGAGCGUACGUAGUCAUUAUUGAGUAAAUCCGAUGUGUCCAUCAUUCUAGCUAGUGGGUUCUUUCCUAGAGUGUGAGUUAACCCUUUUAUUGUCUUUGUUAGGUCCUGGGUAGAAAAGUCAGUGGAACAGAUCAAGAUGAUAUUGCACACAAGUUUUCUUACAUGCCAAGAUGCCAGGCUUGGUGGGUGGUACCCCUGCAGAACUGUUCCUCCACACAUCUUGUUCCUGGUCCAGGUUGGCUCCGCAGCACAUGUGGCCCUGCAAAUCUAUUCCCUGCUAAUGCUGUGUCCUCCAUCAUUUCACCACGGCAUGUCCGUCCAUCUUUGUAAGUCCUGCUGCUUUCUAAAUCUUACCAGAAUGUCCUUUAGAAAAAUGGGCCAGUGCUGGACAUUUGGGUGGACCAGUAAUGAUGCUGAGACAGGAAGCCACCUCAGUGACACUGAAUACCAGUACUUGCCUGGAGCUCUUAAGGAUUUAAAAGGGAGGCGGGUAAGAGAGAGAUCAAUUAUGUCCAUUGGGGCAGAGACACAUUCCUGAUGGAACUGGUUUUUCUUCCAUUCAUUUGGAUUCAGAAGCAUGUUCUAGGCAGUUAUCUUUGAGUAAAUCAAAGGGACAAAAUGCUUCUGCCUGAAUAUUUACUUAUAUUUUCCUCCUCUACCUCUCCUUCCUCCUCCACGCCUUUUUUCCUCCCCAUAUCCUCCUUUCCUUCCCAUUUCCACCUUUCUUAGUCUCCUGUCUCCCCAUGACUCCACUUCUCUUUUUGCUCUCCUUUUC
RNAcentral lists this long non-coding RNA (859 nucleotides) under Vulpes vulpes (red fox). Its description in RNAcentral is "lncRNA (ENSVVUG00000022210.1)". Lineage: Eukaryota; Metazoa; Chordata; Mammalia; Carnivora; Canidae. The record is from RNAcentral.